ACCUUUUCACACUUAUCUUGAAAAUAAGUACUAGAGAAAUCUAAAAGGUU
This 50-nucleotide transfer RNA is filed under the name Hygrobates taniguchii. Its description in RNAcentral is "tRNA-Ser". The record is from RNAcentral. Lineage: Eukaryota; Metazoa; Arthropoda; Arachnida; Trombidiformes; Hygrobatidae.